GUUGACUGCCAGUUUUAGACUGGGGACAGGGAGUCGGGAAAUGCUCAACAGGCUGUAAUCGGGAUCUGAAGAUCCACAAGGAUGGUUCUUUCUCCUGCCUGUGACCAAGAAAUGGGCUAGUGUGUCCCUGAUUUCACUCCUGCUGCUUUUAAUCACGUGUCCACCGCAGACAAGGAAAAGGAGUCUGAAAGCAAAAGAGAAGAUAAAGAAAGAAGCACCUGUGGGCCGCCUGGCUAGAGGAGUGUGUGCUGGAGCAUCUGAGAGCAGGAAGGUUCGAGGUCUGAAACUGCCCUGGGUCGACCCAGCCUCCAGGGAACCAGGUGCUGCGUGCAGCAGGUCACCAGAGACAGGGCAGCAGGCUUCCCUUCACGUGUGCUUGUGGGGAGCAGCGGCCCCUGCAGAGGUAAACAGUGAUUUUUCACUCAUGACCUCUGCACACGCUCCAUUCCUUCUCGUUCCUCCCACAGCCUGGGGGGAGAGGGCCAGGAGAAGAAAACCUCUGCCUCCAACACUGCUUGUUCCCUGUUUCUGUUUAGUUUAGUUUUUAAUUUGUAGAAGUGA
Molecule: long non-coding RNA, 561 nt
Filed under: Equus asinus (donkey)
Lineage: Eukaryota; Metazoa; Chordata; Mammalia; Perissodactyla; Equidae
Description: lncRNA (ENSEASG00005028831.1)
Source: RNAcentral